CGAGGAGUGCCCACACAAAGAACUGCUAAUUCUGCGCCCUGGGAUUAAGCCCCCAGACUCCUUA
RNAcentral lists this transfer RNA (64 nucleotides) under Egernia napoleonis. RNAcentral describes it as "tRNA-Ser". The record is from RNAcentral. Lineage: Eukaryota; Metazoa; Chordata; Lepidosauria; Squamata; Scincidae.